RNAcentral lists this ribosomal RNA (627 nucleotides) under Lindera erythrocarpa. RNAcentral describes it as "eukaryotic LSU rRNA". The stretch from base 225 to 380 matches the Rfam family "5.8S ribosomal RNA". The record is from RNAcentral. Lineage: Eukaryota; Viridiplantae; Streptophyta; Magnoliopsida; Laurales; Lauraceae.
ACCACCACCGGCGAACCAGUCCAGUGGAAACGUUGCUCGCGGCACGUGGCCCCGGGGAUGGCCCGGGGGCGCGCGUCCCGAGAUCUCUAAACAACCCUUUGGGCGCUGCGAGCGCCAAGGAAUAGAAGCGGAAAGGGCGGCCGCCUCACCCGGUGCGAGCACGCCUCGGCCGGGGAUGCAGCAUCGCUGUGGGGAUCCGCCUCUCGUCUGUGAAUCUUUUAGACGACUCUCGGCAACGGAUAUCUCGGCUCUCGCAUCGAUGAAGAACGUAGCGAAAUGCGAUACUUGGUGUGAAUUGCAGAAUCCCGCGAACCAUCGAGUCUUUGAACGCAAGUUGCGCCCGAGGCCGCUCGGCCGAGGGCACGCCUGCCUGGGCGUCACGCCACCCAUCGCCACCCCCCGCGGCAUUCCGGUGCCCGCGCGGGGAGCGGAGACUUGCCGUCCGUGCCCGAGCCCUCGGCGCGCGGUCGGCAGAAAAGGAGGACACCGUGCGGCGCGACACGGCGUGUGGGGGUUGAGAGGCGACCCGUCGCCGAUCGUACGUCGCGCCCGCAUUCCGCCGCGCGCAGUGUCACCCGUGGGACCGGACUCGCCCGCAGCGGCGGGCGCUCGGACCGCGACCCCAGG